GUUGAACGCUGGCGGCAUGCCUUACACAUGCAAGUCGAACGGCAGCGGACCUUCGGGUGCCGGCGAGUGGCGAACGGGUGAGUAAUAUAUCGGAACGUACCUUUCAGUGGGGGAUAACGUAGCGAAAGUUACGCUAAUACCGCAUAUUCUGUGAGCAGGAAAGCAGGGGAUCGCAAGACCUUGCGCUGAUUGAGCGGCCGAUAUCAGAUUAGCUAGUUGGUGAGGUAAAGGCUCACCAAGGCGACGAUCUGUAGCGGGUCUGAGAGGAUGAUCCGCCACACUGGAACUGAGACACGGUCCAGACUCCUACGGGAGGCAGCAGUGGGGAAUUUUGGACAAUGGGCGCAAGCCUGAUCCAGCCAUGCCGCGUGAGUGAAGAAGGCCUCGGUUGUAA
This 394-nucleotide ribosomal RNA is filed under the name uncultured bacterium. RNAcentral describes it as "bacterial SSU rRNA". It matches the Rfam family "Bacterial small subunit ribosomal RNA", at positions 28 to 428 of the family's 1533-position model. The record is from RNAcentral.